Molecule: long non-coding RNA, 523 nt
Filed under: Equus caballus (horse)
Lineage: Eukaryota; Metazoa; Chordata; Mammalia; Perissodactyla; Equidae
Description: lncRNA (ENSECAG00000050496.1)
Source: RNAcentral
CAUCAGGGCUUGGUGAUAAUUAGAUUGUGAAGAAUGUGAUUUAGCUAAAAUGCAUAGGAAUAAUGUCAAGAUAUCUGGGAUUUAGGACCAAGACCCUAAGGAACAUGCUGGAACACCUGGAUGUGCUGGACAUGAAGGACAGCUACAGGAAAAUAGAAAAACAAAGGCAUGGAGGUUAAGAAUUAUAGACAUAAAAGUGACAUGACAAAGUAAGUGGCAUGAGCUUUAGAGCCAAACACUCUUUGAACUUGGAUACACAAACAGAAAAAAACACAUGGAUUCAAAUAACACGAAGUAACGAAAAUAUCUCUUCUUCCCUCAAGAAGUGGGAAACAGGUCCUGUGUUUUUGAAGUCUGAGCCCACCCUAACUUGGAGGAGACCAAUGAUAUUGAUGCCCUUGUUGCUGAUGAUUUUGAUAUCAUCUUUAAAAGAUGUUUAUUUUGAACUAAUUAUCGACUCAGUAUUACAAAAAUAGCUCAGAGAGGAACCAUGUACAUUUCACCCCAUUUCCCUCAAUGGUGG